UGGGGAAUCUUGGACAAUGGGCGCAAGCCUGAUCCAGCCAUGCCGCGUGAGUGAUGAAGGCCUUAGGGUUGUAAAGCUCUUUUGCCGGGGACGAUAAUGACGGUACCCGGAGAAUAAGUCCCGGCUAACUUCGUGCCAGCAGCCGCGGUAAUACGAAGGGGACUAGCGUUGUUCGGAAUCACUGGGCGUAAAGCGCACGUAGGCGGAUUUGUAAGUCAGGGGUGAAAUCCCGGGGCUCAACCUCGGAACUGCCUUUGAUACUGCGGAUCUCGAGUCCGAUAGAGGUGAGUGGAAUUCCUAGUGUAGAGGUGAAAUUCGUAGAUAUUAGGAAGAACACCGGUGGCGAAGGCGGCUCACUGGAUCGGUACUGACGCUGAGGUGCGAAAGCGUGGGGAGCAAACAGGAUUAGAUACCCCAGUAGUCCCUGAGCGGGCUGGCAAGGCGCAU
RNAcentral lists this ribosomal RNA (447 nucleotides) under uncultured bacterium. Its description in RNAcentral is "bacterial SSU rRNA". It matches the Rfam family "Bacterial small subunit ribosomal RNA", at positions 355 to 825 of the family's 1533-position model. The record is from RNAcentral.